GGGGGGGGGGGGGGGGGGGGGGGGGGGGGGCGGGGGGGAGGGGGGGGCGGUGCUGGGGUGGGGUGCUCGGGGGGCGAACGGGUGAGUAACGCGUGAGUAACCUGCCCUUGACUUUGGGGUAACUUCAGGAAACUGGGGCUAAUACCGGAUAGGCGCUCCUGCUGCAUGGUGGGGGUUGGAACGUUUCGGCGGUUGGGGAUCGACUCGCGGCUUAUCAGCUUGUUGGUGGGGUAGUGGCUUACCAAGGCGUUGACGGGUAGCCGGCCUGAGAGGGUGACCGGCCACAUUGGGACUGAGAUACGGACCAGACUCCUACGGGAGGCAGCAGUGGGGAAUAUUGCACAAUGGGCGGAAGCCUGAUGCAGCAACGCCGCGUGCGGGAUGACGGCCUUCGGGUUGUAAACCGCUUUCGCCUGUGACGAAGCGUGAGUGACGGUAAUGGGUAAAGAAGCACCGGCUAACUACGUG
This 468-nucleotide ribosomal RNA is filed under the name uncultured bacterium. RNAcentral's name for it is "partial 16S ribosomal RNA". The stretch from base 58 to 468 matches the Rfam family "Bacterial small subunit ribosomal RNA", at positions 39 to 507 of the family's 1533-position model. The record is from RNAcentral.